ACUGCCACCGAAACUGGCUCCGCGCGCCCUCCCCGCGCCUCGCCUCCCAGCCCCGGCGCGUCGCCCUGGGGGACCCCGGGCACCGCACCUGCCUCGCACCCACCUUGGUGGCCAGAAUCCCAGGGUGCUCACCUGGCCGGUGCACCUGCCGCCGCCCGUGCUGCCAAUCCACAGUUCAACUGAGCCAGGAGGACCGUCCUCCGCUUCCCCCACCCCCUACCCCCGGGCAUGCGCACCAAUUUCUGGCCGAACCCGCCCGGGGCUGUGCGCUGGGACCCACCUGCCGUGCCCUUAGCCGGUUGCUCCGUGCGCUGGACCGCUCUCCCGCAACUCCACCGCUGUCGCCUAAGGAAAGAGGGGCCGGGAGGAAGCCAAUUGAAGAAUGCUGUGACAGAAUUAAGCGACACCCUUGCCCUGCUGUUCAGCAGGGUCCUUGCUGCUCUCCCAGCUGUAGAAGGUAUCUUCCUUCGCCACAUCCUCAUCGUAUAGAGCCUCAAAGAACAUCCGAAGCGGGUUGGCAGGUCAUUCUAAGGUCACUUCUCACUACAAGGGCCUGGAGAGCAUUAGAGUGCUCAUAGCUCCUCCUGCUCACCACACAGGUAUUUCCGCAGCCGUCUUGCGCCCACUUUCAACACUUGAACAUCCCCUCGGAGAGGAGUCUCAGCUCUCUCCAGUCAAACCCACGCUGAUUACUGCCGCAGUCCUUCAGCUGCUUCUCUGGCUGCUGAAGGGGAGCGCCCUCUGCCCAAGACCUUCAGAUUCUUCUCCCAAGGUCUAUUCCACCUUCUUUUCAGCCACAAAUGAGCCAAUGAGUCUUGGCCCUCUGCUAGAAAUUCUCUCCAGCUCACCCCAGCCUCUUGCCACUGCAUCCCCACCUUUUUGGGACCCCAUGCUCUUGCAUAAGAGACCCAGGAUCUCCAGCAACAAAGAAGACAGUGUCUGAAGACAGCGACAGUGUACUCACAUACAUGAAAUAAAUAAAUAGGGGGGGGGGGGGGGGGAGGAAGU
Molecule: long non-coding RNA, 1008 nt
Filed under: Mus spicilegus (steppe mouse)
Lineage: Eukaryota; Metazoa; Chordata; Mammalia; Rodentia; Muridae
Description: lncRNA (ENSMSIG00000029011.1)
Source: RNAcentral